RNAcentral lists this ribosomal RNA (710 nucleotides) under Microcystis sp. UADFM4. RNAcentral describes it as "bacterial SSU rRNA". It matches the Rfam family "Bacterial small subunit ribosomal RNA", at positions 33 to 786 of the family's 1533-position model. Lineage: Bacteria; Bacillati; Cyanobacteriota; Cyanophyceae; Chroococcales; Microcystaceae. The record is from RNAcentral.
ACGCUGGCGGCGUGCCUAACACAUGCAAGUCGAACGGGAAUCUUCGGAUUCUAGUGGCGGACGGGUGAGUAACGCGUAAGAAUCUAACUUCAGGACGGGGACAACAGUUGGAAACGACUGCUAAUACCCGAUAUGCCGCAAGGUGAAACCUAAUUGGCCUGGAGAAGAGCUUGCGUCUGAUUAGCUAGUUGGUGGGGUAAGAGCCUACCAAGGCGACGAUCAGUAGCUGGUCUGAGAGGAUGAGCAGCCACACUGGGACUGAGACACGGCCCAGACUCCUACGGGAGGCAGCAGUGGGGAAUUUUCCGCAAUGGGCGAAAGCCUGACGGAGCAACGCCGCGUGAGGGAGGAAGGUCUUUGGAUUGUAAACCUCUUUUCUCAAGGAAGAAGUUCUGACGGUACUUGAGGAAUCAGCCUCGGCUAACUCCGUGCCAGCAGCCGCGGUAAUACGGGGGAGGCAAGCGUUAUCCGGAAUUAUUGGGCGUAAAGCGUCCGCAGGUGGUCAGCCAAGUCUGCCGUCAAAUCAGGUUGCUUAACGACCUAAAGGCGGUGGAAACUGGCAGACUAGAGAGCAGUAGGGGUAGCAGGAAUUCCCAGUGUAGCGGUGAAAUGCGUAGAGAUUGGGAAGAACAUCGGUGGCGAAAGCGUGCUACUGGGCUGUAUCUGACACUCAGGGACGAAAGCUAGGGGAGCGAAAGGGAUUAGAUACC